Molecule: ribosomal RNA, 240 nt
Filed under: uncultured Lactobacillus sp.
Lineage: Bacteria; Bacillati; Bacillota; Bacilli; Lactobacillales; Lactobacillaceae
Description: partial 16S ribosomal RNA
Rfam family: Bacterial small subunit ribosomal RNA
Source: RNAcentral
UAACCUGCCCAAGAGAUCGGGAUAACACCUGGAAACAGAUGCUAAUACCGGAUAACAACAGAUGAUGCCUAUCAACUGUUUAAAAGAUGGUUCUGCUAUCGCUCUUGGAUGGACCUGCGGUGCAUUAGCUAGUUGGUAGGGUAACGGCCUACCAAGGCGAUGAUGCAUAGCCGAGUUGAGAGACUGAUCGGCCACAUUGGGACUGAGACACGGCCCAAACUCCUACGGGAGGCAGCAGAC